RNAcentral lists this ribosomal RNA (255 nucleotides) under uncultured bacterium. Its description in RNAcentral is "partial 16S ribosomal RNA". It matches the Rfam family "Bacterial small subunit ribosomal RNA", at positions 99 to 354 of the family's 1533-position model. The record is from RNAcentral.
CGGACGGGUGAGUAACGCGUGGAAAACCUGCCGUAUACUGGGGGAUAACACUUAGAAAUAGGUGCUAAUACCGCAUAAGCGCACAGCUUCGCAUGAAGCGGUGUGAAAAACUCUGGUGGUAUACGAUGGUUCCGCGUCUGAUUAGCUAGUUGGUGGGAUAAUGGCCUACCAAGGCAACGAUCAGUAGCCGGCCUGAGAGGGUGAACGGCCACAUUGGGACUGAGACACGGCCCAAACUCCUACGGAAGGCAGCAG